GACGAACGCUGGCGGCGUGCUUAACACAUGCAAGUCGAACGAAGAGCGAUGGAAGCUUGCUUCUAUCAAUCUUAGUGGCGAACGGGUGAGUAACGCGUAAUCAACCUGCCCUUCAGAGGGGGACAACAGUUGGAAACGACUGCUAAUACCGCAUACGAUCUGACCUCGGCAUCGAGGAUGGAUGAAAGGUGGCCUCUAUUUAUAAGCUAUCACUGAAGGAGGGGAUUGCGUCUGAUUAGCUAGUUGGAGGGGUAACGGCCCACCAAGGCGAUGAUCAGUAGCCGGUUUGAGAGGAUGAACGGCCACAUUGGGACUGAGACACGGCCCAGACUCCUACGGGAGGCAGCAGUGGGGAAUCUUCCGCAAUGGACGAAAGUCUGACGGAGCAACGCCGCGUGAGUGAUGACGGCCUUCGGGUUGUAAAGCUCUGUUAAUCGGGACGAAAGGCCUUCUUGCGAAUAGUUAGAAGGAUUGACG
Molecule: ribosomal RNA, 477 nt
Filed under: Veillonella dispar
Lineage: Bacteria; Bacillati; Bacillota; Negativicutes; Veillonellales; Veillonellaceae
Description: bacterial SSU rRNA
Rfam family: Bacterial small subunit ribosomal RNA
Source: RNAcentral